RNAcentral lists this ribosomal RNA (429 nucleotides) under Pseudomonadota bacterium. RNAcentral's name for it is "Proteobacteria bacterium partial 16S ribosomal RNA". It matches the Rfam family "Bacterial small subunit ribosomal RNA", at positions 355 to 776 of the family's 1533-position model. Lineage: Bacteria; Pseudomonadati; Pseudomonadota. The record is from RNAcentral.
UGGGGAAUAUUGGACAAUGGGCGAAAGCCUGAUCCAGCCAUGCCGCGUGUGUGAAGAAGGUCUUCGGAUUGUAAAGCACUUUAAGUUGGGAGGAAGGGCAGUAAGCGAAUACCUUGCUGUUUUGACGUUACCGACAGAAUAAGCACCGGCUAACUCUGUGCCAGCAGCCGCGGUAAUACAGAGGGUGCAAGCGUUAAUCGGAAUUACUGGGCGUAAAGCGCGCGUAAGUGGUUCGUUAAGUUGAAUGUGAAAGCCCCGGGCUCAACCUGGGAACUGCAUCCAAAACUGGCGAGCUAGAGUAGGGCAGAGGGUGGUGGAAUUUCCUGUGUAGCGGUGAAAUGCGUAGAUAUAGGAAGGAACACCAGUGGCGAAGGCGACCACCUGGGCUCAUACUGACACUGAGGUGCGAAAGCGUGGGGAGCAAACAGG